GUGGGGAAUAUUGGACAAUGGGCGAAAGCCUGAUCCAGCCAUGCCGCGUGUGUGAAGAAGGUCUUCGGAUUGUAAAGCACUUUAAGUUGGGAGGAAGGGCAGUAAGUUAAUACCUUGCUGUUUUGACGUUACCGACAGAAUAAGCACCGGCUAACUUCGUGCCAGCAGCCGCGGUAAUACGAAGGGUGCAAGCGUUAAUCGGAAUUACUGGGCGUAAAUCGCGCGUAGGUGGUUUUGUAAGUUGGAGGUGAAAUCCCCGGGCUCAACCUGGGAACUGCCUCCAAAACUGCAUGACUAGAGUACGGUAGAGGGUAGUGGAAUUUCCUGUGUAGCGGUGAAAUGCGUAGAUAUAGGAAGGAACACCAGUGGCGAAGGCGACUACCUGGACUGAUACUGACACUGAGGUGCGAAAGCGUGGGGAGCAAACAGGAUUAGAAACCCUGGUAGUGC
Molecule: ribosomal RNA, 450 nt
Filed under: uncultured bacterium
Lineage: Bacteria
Description: partial 16S ribosomal RNA
Rfam family: Bacterial small subunit ribosomal RNA
Source: RNAcentral